AUGGCGGCGGCGAAGAAGAAUGACGACGGCGAGCCUGGGGCGACAGCCAGCGGCGAGGGCGGUGCUCACUCCGAGGUCAACAAGUGGCUAGGCAGCGCAAGUUUCCCGACCCAGCGCUCGUCUGGGCCACCGACGCAGGAGGUCCAGAUCUCGCCGCCGUUCCGCGCGGCCAGGGCAGUGGCCAAAUGCAUCCACACGGAUCCAGAAGGCGGGCACCAGUGGGCCUCCUCACUUGGUGGCGUGGAAAAUCUGAAUGUGUUGUUUCUUUUUUUGCAUAGUUUGGAUGAUGAAGUAUGGGAAUUGAGGCUGCAUUUUCAGGGUAGAGACAACAUGGAAAGGAAGUUUUCCUUAUCAGAAAUAAAUUACCUGGUAUUGUUAGCACUUAUUGAACUUGAGGGCUAUGGGUUGGAUGCCUAUCUGUCAUAUGUUAAGGAUGAGGGUAAGGGGCUGGAGGGGAUUGAGGUUUUGGACAAUGAUGAGAAGGUGGAGGAGAUGCUAGAUUUGUUUGCUGAGAAGAAAGUAUUGAACGUAACAGUGAGAGAGGCUAGUGACCCAAAUCCAGCAGAUGCAAACAUGGACCACACCUUGCUUGAAGAGCAGAUUCCAAUUAGUCAAGUUGGUGAUCCCAUUGUUUAUAGUGUUUCCCAAGAAGGGGUGAUUAUAGAGGGAAGAAAAUUUCAUACAAGUCUUGGGCUAGGGGGAGAAGAUGAAGGUGGUGAAGGAACAAGUCAGCACUACAGGGAAGAGGAAGAGAUGGUUGAGCAUUAUUUCGGGGCUGCUUCUGAACCCUCAGAGUUUUGGCAGGAGCCAAAUGGUUCUGAAGAAGAUGAUGAAGAAGAAGCUUCAGAUCAUGUGAAAACUGUGGCACAGAAGAUACCUGUGAGGAAACAAGGCCCAGCAAGCCGAUCACACAGUGAGCCAGAUCACAUAAAGUUUGAAGAUUUCGUGCCAGAAGCUGAUGAGUUUGGCUUUUCAGGUGAUGAAGGCAUUUCUGAUGAAGAAGAUGAUGCACCUAGGUUGCCUUGUGGCAAGAAGAGAAAAUUGAAGAAGAAGAAGGAGAGAAUAUGCAUCAAGAAGAUGAAUCUUGAUCACACCUGUGGAGCAAGUGGAGAGAACACAAAGGUUACCAUGAAGUGGGUUGCAAAGGCUGUUGAGGAUACUGCUGCAUAUUCUUUCACUAAGCAUGGGCAUGAUCUGGGCCUGGAAGCAUUGAAGAAAGAGAGUGAGGAGGCAUGGAAGUGGUUGUCCAACAUACCAGUCCAUACUUGGGCCAGGCAUAGAAUGGAUAUUAUAUGCAAGACAGACCUUGUUGUAAACAAUCUUAGUGAAGUUUUCAACAGGAUGAUUCUGGAUGUUAGGAACAAGCCCAUAAGGACAAUGCUUGAAGGAAUUAGGACAAAACUCAUGAUCAAGUUUCAGAAGAUUAGGAAGAAGACAGAGACAUGUAGGUGGGAUAUCACACCCACUUACUCUGAGAUAUUGGAGGAGGCCAAGAAGUGGGCAAAAUAUUGUGAUGCAUAUAUGGCUGGACCAGGCAUUUGGCAAGUUACAAGUAGUUCAGAAAAGACCUGUGUAAACCUAAACAACUACACUUGUGACUGCAGGAGGUGGGAUAUGACAGCUGUUCCAUGUAGUCAUGCUAUAGCAGCAAUGCAGAAGGUGAAGCUACACCCUGAAGAUUUUUUCCAUGAGUUCUUCAAGAAGCCCCUCUACUGUGAAACCUACAAGCAUAUUAUAUACCCUGUUCCAGGCCCUGAUUGUUGGCCACACACCAUGGGGGAUGACAUAUCUCCUCCAGUAUUCAAAGAAAAGAAGGGUAAAAAACAGACAACUAGGAGGAAAGGACAUUUUGAGGUGCCUGCCAAGAAGGAUACAUCAAGAAUUGGGACAGUGACUUGUAGCAAUUGCAAUAAGCAAGGUCACAGAUAUACCACAUGUGGUGUUCCACUGAAACCCAAACUGCAGAUGAGAAAGAAUAAUCACCAGGAGAAUAGGUCAGACUACUCUUCAUCUACCAGAGCUACUACAGGUGUGGUUGCACCACCACCACCAUCAGCACCAUCAGCACCAGCCAUAGCUAGGAAGAGGACUGCAACAGCCACAGCUACUCCAGGACCAGCAAAGAGGAACAAGGCAGCUUCUUCUGCUACUCCAGCACCUGCCAAGAAGACCAAAGCAACCAAGAAGACAAGGGCUCCUAGCACAUCUUCACCAGCCAAGAACACAAGGUCAUCCAUUGCCUCUCCAGCAAAGAACACCAGAGCAUCAACAGCUAGCAGAGGAGGGGGGUACACAGGUUUCAAUGCUCCAAGGCAAGCUGCUCACUCUGAGAUGGUGAUUGGGUCCAAGAGGGUUAGGAAGCCAACUGGAAAGUGGAAGGCAUAUUUCACUGCUAGUGGUAACUAUUGA
RNAcentral lists this ribosomal RNA (2409 nucleotides) under Triticum aestivum (bread wheat). RNAcentral describes it as "partial small subunit ribosomal RNA". Lineage: Eukaryota; Viridiplantae; Streptophyta; Magnoliopsida; Poales; Poaceae. The record is from RNAcentral.